RNAcentral lists this microRNA (22 nucleotides) under Drosophila mojavensis. RNAcentral's name for it is "Dmo-Mir-76_5p* (star (passenger))". Lineage: Eukaryota; Metazoa; Arthropoda; Insecta; Diptera; Drosophilidae. The record is from RNAcentral.
CAGGUUUCGUUAGCAACGGGCU